This 981-nucleotide ribosomal RNA is filed under the name Candidatus Saccharimonadota bacterium. RNAcentral describes it as "partial 23S ribosomal RNA". It matches the Rfam family "Bacterial large subunit ribosomal RNA", at positions 1 to 819 of the family's 2925-position model. Lineage: Bacteria; Candidatus Saccharimonadota. The record is from RNAcentral.
AAAAAGGUACAUAAGGGCACUGAUAGUGGAUGCCUUGACAUUUACAACCGAUGAAGGACGUAGAACUCUGCGAUAAGCUUCGGGUAGCUGAGAACAAGCUUUGAUCCGGAGAUUUCCGAAUGGGGAAACCUAAUUCAAGUCAUGUUGAAUUGCCAUUGCCUGAACACAUAGGGCAACGAGACGGGAACCAGCCGAACUGAAUCAUCUUAGUAGGUUGAGGAAAAGAAAAUAACCAAUGAUUCCGAAAGUAGUGGCGAGCGAAAUUGGAAUAGUCUAAACCUCAAGAUAACCUUACGGGUUAACGCCCAGAGUUAUUAGGGGUGUUGCGUGUUUACACAAUUUUUAUGCUGAGCAGUUAAGCUUGCUUGACCGUUCGGCAUAAAAACCAACAGCGUUAACUGAGUGGAUGAGUAUCAUAGUUGUUAGCGGAAGCGUUUGAAUGGCGCGCCAAAGAUGGUGAAAGCCCAGUAUGCGAAAACAACUAUUAGAACUUAUAUGUGUUUUCACAAGUAAAACGGGGCACGAGAAACCCUGUUUGAAUCCGGCAGGACCACCUGCCAAGACUAAAUAUUGCAAAUGAUCGAUAGCGAACUAGUACAGUGAUGGAAAGGUGAAAAGAACCCCGGGAGGGGAGUGAAAUAGAUCCUGAAACUCAGUGCCUACAACGUGUUGGAGCAUGGCGAACAAAACUCAUGAGUCGCGACGAAGUCGCGCAAAUCAGUUUACUGAUAGGUGUUCGUGAGCUUUGUUCGCCAUGUGACAGCGUGCUUUUUGUAGAACGAUCCAGCGAGUUAAUUUUGUCGGCGAGGCUAAGUCAGAUGAUGGAGCCGCAGUGAAAGCGAGGGUUAAUAGCCCGUCAAGUCGGAAGGAUUAGACCCGAAACCGGGUGACCUAACCAUGAGCAGGUUGAAGCAGCGGUAACACGCUGUGGAGGACCGCACCGGGAUACGCAGUAAAGUGUUCGGAUGACUUGUGGUUAGC